CCCGGAUAGAGUACCAACUUUACAUAUUAUCAGAUUAGAUGUCACAAAUCUUGUUCAACUUUGCUGCUUUAGGAUGGGUCUAUGAAACGAAACAUUUUGUUAGUACACCAAACGCACAAGAUGUGUGAAAGAAACGAUCUUCGAACACCCACAUCAUGAACAUCCAGUCGAGUGAGGGAGUUACAACAGAUUCAGAUAGCUGAGCAUGCAAAUUACUGCUGGGAAAUGUAGCUACAACUUCAUGGAAAGGACAAUCGGUUGUUGCACAUUC
Molecule: unclassified non-coding RNA, 271 nt
Filed under: Hevea brasiliensis (rubber tree)
Lineage: Eukaryota; Viridiplantae; Streptophyta; Magnoliopsida; Malpighiales; Euphorbiaceae
Source: RNAcentral